RNAcentral lists this transfer RNA (76 nucleotides) under Verrucomicrobiales bacterium. RNAcentral's name for it is "tRNA-Val". It matches the Rfam family "tRNA". Rfam says of the family: Transfer RNA (tRNA) molecules are approximately 80 nucleotides in length. The record is from RNAcentral. Lineage: Bacteria; Pseudomonadati; Verrucomicrobiota; Verrucomicrobiia; Verrucomicrobiales. RNAcentral also lists the same sequence under 1 other name.
GGGCGCUUGGCGCAGUGGCUAGCGCGACUGCUUUACACGCAGCUGGUCGGGGGUUCGAGUCCCUCAGCGCCCACCA